RNAcentral lists this ribosomal RNA (780 nucleotides) under Micromonospora echinofusca. Its description in RNAcentral is "bacterial SSU rRNA". It matches the Rfam family "Bacterial small subunit ribosomal RNA", at positions 63 to 860 of the family's 1533-position model. The record is from RNAcentral. Lineage: Bacteria; Bacillati; Actinomycetota; Actinomycetes; Micromonosporales; Micromonosporaceae.
CGAGCGGAAGGCCCUUCGGGGUACUCGAGCGGCGAACGGGUGAGUAACACGUGAGCAACCUGCCCUAGGCUUUGGGAUAACCCCGGGAAACCGGGGCUAAUACCGAAUAGGACCUCUGACCGCAUGGUUGGUGGUGGAAAGUUUUUCGGCCUGGGAUGGGCUCGCGGCCUAUCAGCUUGUUGGUGGGGUGAUGGCCUACCAAGGCGACGACGGGUAGCCGGCCUGAGAGGGCGACCGGCCACACUGGGACUGAGACACGGCCCAGACUCCUACGGGAGGCAGCAGUGGGGAAUAUUGCACAAUGGGCGGAAGCCUGAUGCAGCGACGCCGCGUGAGGGAUGACGGCCUUCGGGUUGUAAACCUCUUUCAGCAGGGACGAAGCGUAAGUGACGGUACCUGCAGAAGAAGCACCGGCCAACUACGUGCCAGCAGCCGCGGUAAGACGUAGGGUGCGAGCGUUGUCCGGAUUUAUUGGGCGUAAAGAGCUCGUAGGCGGCUUGUCGCGUCGACUGUGAAAACCCGCAGCUCAACUGCGGGCCUGCAGUCGAUACGGGCAGGCUAGAGUUCGGUAGGGGAGACUGGAAUUCCUGGUGUAGCGGUGAAAUGCGCAGAUAUCAGGAGGAACACCGGUGGCGAAGGCGGGUCUCUGGGCCGAUACUGACGCUGAGGAGCGAAAGCGUGGGGAGCGAACAGGAUUAGAUACCCUGGUAGUCCACGCUGUAAACGUUGGGCGCUAGGUGUGGGGGGCCUCUCCGGUUCCCUGUGCCGCAGCUAACGCAU